GGAUUCUAAGGCGCUUGAGAGAACUCAGGAGAAGGAACUCGGCAAAUUAGCACCGUAACUUCGGGAGAAGGUGCGCCCCGGUAGUGUGUAGCGGCUUGCCCGUGAAGCACGAUGGGGUUGCAGUGAAUUGGUGGCUGCGACUGUUUAAUAAAAACACAGCACUCUGCAAACACGAAAGUGGACGUAUAGGGUGUGACGCCUGCCCGGUGCCGGAAGGUUAAGUGAUGGGGUGCAAGCUCUUGAUCGAAGCCCCGGUAAACGGCGGCCGUAACGAUAACGGUCCUAAGGUAGCGAAAUUCCUUGUCGGGUAAGUUCCGACCUGCACGAAUGGCGUAACGAUGGCCACACUGUCUCCUCCUGAGACUCAGCGAAGUUGAAGUGUUUGUGAAGAUGCAAUCUACCCGCUGCUAGACGGAAAGACCCCAUGCACCUUUACUGUAGCUUUGCAUUGGACUUUGAUGAGACUUGUGUAGGAUAGGUGGGAGGCUUUGAAGGCGGGAUGCUAGUCCCGCUGGAGCCGUCCUUGAAAUACCACCCUGGUGUCAUUGAGGUUCUAACCUGGAUCCAUUAUCUGGAUCGGGGACCGUGCAUGGCAGGCAGUUUGACUGGGGCGGUCUCCUCCCAAAGGGUAACGGAGGAGUUCGAAGGUUCGCUAGGUACGGUCGGACAUCGUACUGAUAGUGCAUUGGCAAAAGCGAGCUUGACUGCGAGACGGACAUGUCGAGCAGGUGCGAAAGCAGGACAAAGUGAUCCUGUGGUUCUGUAUGGAAGGGCCAUCGCUCAACGGAUAAAAGGUACGCUGGGGAUAACAGGCUGAUGACUCCCAAGAGUUCAUAUCGACGGAGUCGUUUGGCACCUCGAUGUCGGCUCAUCUCAUCCUGGGGCUGUAGCCGGUCCCAAGGGUAUGGCUGUUCGCCAUUUAAAGAGGUACGUGAGCUGGGUUUAAAACGUCGUGAGACAGUUUGGUCCCUAUCUGCAGUGGGCGUUGGAGAUUUGACGGGGGCUGCUCCUAGUACGAGGGGACCGGAGUGGACGCACCUCUGGUGUACCGGUUGUGACGCCAGUCGCAUCGCCGGGUAGCUAUGUGCGGAAGAGAUAACCGCUGAAAGCAUCUAAGCGGGAAACUUGCCUGAAGAUGAGAUCUCCCGGAGGCUUGACCUCCCUGAAGGGUCGUGGAAGACCACCACGUUGAUAGGCCGGGUGUGGAAGCGCAGUAAUGCGUUAAGCUAACCGGUACUAAUUGCCCGUGCGGCUUGAUCCU
RNAcentral lists this ribosomal RNA (1261 nucleotides) under metagenome. Its description in RNAcentral is "bacterial LSU rRNA". It matches the Rfam family "Bacterial large subunit ribosomal RNA", at positions 1676 to 2925 of the family's 2925-position model. The record is from RNAcentral.